RNAcentral lists this ribosomal RNA (167 nucleotides) under Pantoea agglomerans. Its description in RNAcentral is "partial 16S ribosomal RNA". It matches the Rfam family "Bacterial small subunit ribosomal RNA", at positions 1 to 163 of the family's 1533-position model. The record is from RNAcentral. Lineage: Bacteria; Pseudomonadati; Pseudomonadota; Gammaproteobacteria; Enterobacterales; Erwiniaceae. RNAcentral also lists the same sequence under 1 other name.
AAAUUGAAGAGUUUGAUCAUGGCUCAGAUUGAACGCUGGCGGCAGGCCUAACACAUGCAAGUCGGACGGUAGCACAGAGAGCUUGCUCUUGGGUGACGAGUGGCGGACGGGUGAGUAAUGUCUGGGGAUCUGCCCGAUAGAGGGGGAUAACCACUGGAAACGGUGGC